Molecule: long non-coding RNA, 326 nt
Organism: Micropterus dolomieu (smallmouth bass)
Lineage: Eukaryota; Metazoa; Chordata; Actinopteri; Centrarchiformes; Centrarchidae
Exons: 3
Source: RefSeq, a predicted model, not a curated record
UAAGAUGUCCUGUUUUAUUGUCUUUCCAGGUUGGUGGUGGUUUGUGGGAGUUGCAGCUCUUUUAUUAACUGUUGUUAUUGUUGUUGCUCUCAUCAUAUGGAAGAAAACUAAAGGAAAAAAACCCCAGAUGGAUGAAAACACUGGACGGAGCUUAAACCCUGCAGUGAGUCCAGAAAGCAGUCAGGACACGGUGAGAUCUCACACUACACCCAGGACAAAGUUACACUCACUGUUUUUAGAUUUGUUGUUCAAAAUGUAGCUCUAUGAGACACACAGUGACUCUUGAAUCUAAGUUCUUUCUGCAAGAGAAGAAGUGGGGAGUCUGA